UACGUAGGGGGCAAGCGUUGUCCGGAAUCAUUGGGCGUAAAGCGCGUGUAGGCGGCCCGGUAAGUCCGCUGUGAAAGUCGGGGGCUCAACCCUCGAAUGCCGGUGGAUACUGUCGGGCUAGAGUGCGGGAGAGGCGAGUGGAAUUCCUGGUGUAGCGGUGAAAUGCGCAGAUAUCAGGAGGAACACCUAUUGCGAAGGCAGCUCUCUGGGACGGUACUGACGCUGAGACGCGAAAGCGUGGGGAGCGAACAGG
Molecule: ribosomal RNA, 253 nt
Filed under: uncultured bacterium
Lineage: Bacteria
Description: partial 16S ribosomal RNA
Rfam family: Bacterial small subunit ribosomal RNA
Source: RNAcentral